ACGAGUGGCGGACGGGUGAGUAAUGUCUGGGAAACUGCCCGGUGGAGGGGGAUAACUACUGGAAACGGUAGCUAAUACCGCAUAACGUCGCAAGACCAAAGAGGGGACCUUCGGGCCUCUUGCCACCGGAUGUGCCCAGAUGGGAUUAGCUUGUUGGUGGGGUAACGGCUCACCAAGGCGACGAUCCCUAGCUGGUCUGAGAGGAUGACCAGCCACACUGGAACUGAGACACGGUCCAGACUCCUACGGAAGGCAGCAG
This 259-nucleotide ribosomal RNA is filed under the name uncultured bacterium. Its description in RNAcentral is "partial 16S ribosomal RNA". It matches the Rfam family "Bacterial small subunit ribosomal RNA", at positions 91 to 354 of the family's 1533-position model. The record is from RNAcentral.